UUGUGCCUACGGGAGGCAGCAGUGGGGAAUCUUCCGCAAUGGGCGAAAGCCUGACGGAGCAACGCCGCGUGAUCGAAUGAAGGCCUUCGGGUUGUAAAGAUCUGUUGAUAGGGACGAAUAAGCAAUGCGAAUAGUUUUGUGUAUGACGGUACCUGUUUAGAAAGCUCCGGCUAACUACGUGCCAGCAGCCGCGGUAAUACGUAGGGAGCAAGCGCUGUCCGGAAUUACUGGGCGUAA
Molecule: ribosomal RNA, 237 nt
Filed under: uncultured bacterium
Lineage: Bacteria
Description: partial 16S ribosomal RNA
Rfam family: Bacterial small subunit ribosomal RNA
Source: RNAcentral